This 246-nucleotide ribosomal RNA is filed under the name uncultured bacterium. Its description in RNAcentral is "partial 16S ribosomal RNA". It matches the Rfam family "Bacterial small subunit ribosomal RNA", at positions 15 to 252 of the family's 1533-position model. The record is from RNAcentral.
GAUUCUGGCUCAGGAUGAACGCUAGCUACAGGCUUAACACAUGCAAGUCGAGGGGCAGCGGGAUUGAAGCUUGCUUCAAUUGCCGGCGACCGGCGCACGGGUAAGUAACGCGUAUCCAACCCUCCGUACACUCAGGGAUAGCCUUUCGAAAGAAAGAUUAAUACCUGAUGGUAUCUUAAGCACACAUGUAAUUAAGAUUAAAGAUUUAUCGGUGUACGAUGGGGAUGCGUUCCAUUAGGUAGUAGG